RNAcentral lists this ribosomal RNA (611 nucleotides) under Enterobacter cloacae. RNAcentral describes it as "bacterial SSU rRNA". It matches the Rfam family "Bacterial small subunit ribosomal RNA", at positions 925 to 1533 of the family's 1533-position model. The record is from RNAcentral. Lineage: Bacteria; Pseudomonadati; Pseudomonadota; Gammaproteobacteria; Enterobacterales; Enterobacteriaceae.
CCAGGCGGGUGGGAGCAUGUGGUUUAGUUCGAUGCAACGCGAAGAACCUUACCUACUCUUGACAUCCAGAGAACUUACCAGAGAUGCUUUGGUGCCUUCGGGAACUCUGAGACAGGUGCUGCAUGGCUGUCGUCAGCUCGUGUUGUGAAAUGUUGGGUUAAGUCCCGCAACGAGCGCAACCCUUAUCCUUUGUUGCCAGCGGUUCGGCCGGGAACUCAAAGGAGACUGCCAGUGAUAAACUGGAGGAAGGUGGGGAUGACGUCAAGUCAUCAUGGCCCUUACGAGUAGGGCUACACACGUGCUACAAUGGCGCAUACAAAGAGAAGCGACCUCGCGAGAGCAAGCGGACCUCAUAAAGUGCGUCGUAGUCCGGAUUGGAGUCUGCAACUCGACUCCAUGAAGUCGGAAUCGCUAGUAAUCGUGGAUCAGAAUGCCACGGUGAAUACGUUCCCGGGCCUUGUACACACCGCCCGUCACACCAUGGGAGUGGGUUGCAAAAGAAGUAGGUAGCUUAACCUUCGGGAGGGCGCUUACCACUUUGUGAUUCAUGACUGGGGUGAAGUCGUAACAAGGUAACCGUAGGGGAACCUGCGGCUGGAUCACCUCCUUAA